RNAcentral lists this ribosomal RNA (1330 nucleotides) under freshwater metagenome. RNAcentral's name for it is "bacterial LSU rRNA". It matches the Rfam family "Bacterial large subunit ribosomal RNA", at positions 1214 to 2540 of the family's 2925-position model. The record is from RNAcentral.
GUUUACUGUGAGUGGUAGGAGAGCGUUCUGUAAGCCUGCGAAGGUGUCUUGUAAAGGAUGCUGGAGGUAUCAGAAGUGCGAAUGCUGACAUGAGUAGCGUUAAAGGGGGUGAAAAGCCCCCUCGCCGAAAGCGCAAGGUUUCCUACGCAACGUUCAUCGGCGUAGGGUGAGUCGGCCCCUAAGGCGAGGCAGAGAUGCGUAGCUGAUGGGAAACAGGUUAAUAUUCCUGUACCGAUCUAUGGUGCGAUGUGGGGACGGAGAAGGUUAGCUCAGCCAACUGUUGGAAUAGUUGGUUCAAGCAUGUAGGCGUGCUCUUUAGGCAAAUCCGGAGAGCUUAGCUGAGGUGUGAUAACGAGGCUGCUUGCAGCCGAAGUGAGUGAUACCCUGCUUCCAGGAAAAGCCACUAAGCUUCAGCCAUAGAUUGACCGUACCGCAAACCGACACUGGUGCGCGAGAUGAGUAUUCUAAGGCGCUUGAGAGAACUCUGGAGAAGGAACUCGGCAAAUUGACACCGUAACUUCGGAAGAAGGUGUGCCUUUAGUAGGUGAAGCCCCCGCGGGUGGAGCCCAAUGAGGUCGCAGAGAAUCGGUGGCUGCAACUGUUUAAUAAAAACACAGCACUCUGCAAAGACGAAAGUCGACGUAUAGGGUGUGACGCCUGCCCGGUGCUGGAAGAUUAAUUGAUGGGGUGCAAGCUCUUGAUCGAAGUCCCAGUAAACGGCGGCCGUAACUAUAACGGUCCUAAGGUAGCGAAAUUCCUUGUCGGGUAAGUUCCGACCUGCACGAAUGGCGUAAUGAUGGCCACACUGUCUCCUCCAGAGACUCAGCGAAGUUGAAAUGUUUGUGAUGAUGCAAUCUCCCCGCGGAAAGACGGAAAGACCCCAUGAACCUUUACUGUAGCUUUACAUUGGACUUUGAACAGAUCUGUGUAGGAUAGGUGGGAGGCUUUGAAGCCAGGACGCUAGUUCUGGUGGAGCCGACGUUGAAAUACCACCCUGGUGUGUUUGAGGUUCUAACCUUGGCCCGUUAUCCGGGUUGGGGACAGUGUAUGGUGGGCAGUUUGACUGGGGCGGUCUCCUCCCAAAGUGUAACGGAGGAGUUCGAAGGUACGCUAAAUACGGUCGGAAAUCGUGUUGAUAGUGCAUUGGCAUAAGCGUGCUUGACUGCGAGACUGACAAGUCGAGCAGGUACGAAAGUAGGACAAAGUGAUCCGGUGGUUCUGUAUGGAAGGGCCAUCGCUCAACGGAUAAAAGGUACUCUGGGGAUAACAGGCUGAUACCGCCCAAGAGUUCAUAUCGACGGCGGUGUUUGGCACCUCGAUGUCGGCUCAU